UACGAACUGUGCAAACGUUUAUUCGGAAUCACUGGGCUUAAAGGGUGCGUAGGCGGCUAUUUAAGUAGGGUGUGAAAGCCCCCGGCUCAACCGGGGAAUUGCGUCCUAAACUGGAUAGCUCGAGUGAGAUAGAGGUGUGCGGAACUUCCGGUGGAGCGGUGAAAUGUGUUGAUAUCGGAAGGGAACGCCGGUGGCGAAAGCGGCACACUGGGUCUCAACUGACGCUGAGGCACGAAAGCCAGGGGAGCGAACGGG
RNAcentral lists this ribosomal RNA (255 nucleotides) under uncultured bacterium. Its description in RNAcentral is "partial 16S ribosomal RNA". It matches the Rfam family "Bacterial small subunit ribosomal RNA", at positions 524 to 776 of the family's 1533-position model. The record is from RNAcentral.